AUGAAAAGCGCUUUAUAAAUCAAAUAUAUUAUUAUUAUUAUUAUUCAAGCUUUAAGCUUCUCCCGUUCAAAACAGAAGUAGAGUUGUAUAACUCUGCAAUUUAUAUAAACAAAACAUAAAUUGCAGCUAAUUUCCAAACCUUAGGGUAAUACCAUGUAGGAAAGAAGAACAUGAAACAAUAAGAUCAAUAGAAAGACAGUAUGACUAAUUAUGACAGACAAAUUAUCCACUUGUAACAGUAAGACUUGAGGUUUUGUUUGUUUGUUUGUUUUUUCAUCAGGGUGGAUAAAGUGCAAACAGUUGUAUUCCAAACUGAGACAUGGACCGCUGACACGACUUGGCACAACUUGCAGUUUGAGGAUGUGAGCACAUGAGGUGUCGAUUCACUUUCUGCAGCCAAGAAAAACACCCCUCAACUUCCAGUUUUCCACAAUUGUGACGUCUGUGAGCCUUUUUAAUUCCCUCUCGGCAGGGAUCUCCCUUUGGCAGCUGCCGUGCCCCUCCGGCGACGUGGACGCGUGGCCGGACAGGACGCCCCGCCUCUCCACCCAUCCACCUUAUCGACCCGCCGCACAGCACUGGUGCGGGGGCUGCCUGCGACCUGAUACCUCACAUCGCCGCGGAGAAGUCGGUCCCGGCUGAGAUAGAGCUCCCCACCUCUGCUGUGCCCGUGGCUAUACCCCGGAGUUAUCACGCACCAGAUGCUCAGCGGUUGCAUAAUGCACACAGGAUGUGAUCACUGGCUCCAUAUCUGACGGUGCAGCACCGCAGAGCUCGGCGUGCUCUUUUGACAGGUGCUGUAGUAGCAAUUUUCGUGGUACUUUGUGUUUUGAGCUGUCAAUUUUGUGUGCGAGAGGGAAUGUUUUCAUGCUUGUUUUACACCCAAAGAUGAACCAAAACCCCCCAACAAAACCCCCCAAAUAUUCUUAAGCCUUUUCAGCCCACGAACCGAACAGAAGCAAUUUCGUCUCACCCUGAACCCCGGUCUCAUUAAAACACAACUCGUUU
RNAcentral lists this long non-coding RNA (1008 nucleotides) under Scophthalmus maximus (turbot). RNAcentral describes it as "lncRNA (ENSSMAG00000030757.1)". Lineage: Eukaryota; Metazoa; Chordata; Actinopteri; Pleuronectiformes; Scophthalmidae. The record is from RNAcentral.